CAGGGACGACCUCGGCCUGAAGACGGCCA
This 29-nucleotide small RNA is filed under the name Bombyx mori (domestic silkworm). Its description in RNAcentral is "ovarian small RNA-13303". The record is from RNAcentral. Lineage: Eukaryota; Metazoa; Arthropoda; Insecta; Lepidoptera; Bombycidae.